This 491-nucleotide ribosomal RNA is filed under the name uncultured bacterium. RNAcentral's name for it is "partial 16S ribosomal RNA". It matches the Rfam family "Bacterial small subunit ribosomal RNA", at positions 29 to 507 of the family's 1533-position model. The record is from RNAcentral.
AGUGAACGCUGGCGGUAGGCCUAACACAUGCAAGUCGAACGGCAGCACAGUAAGAGCUUGCUCUUACGGGUGGCGAGUGGCGGACGGGUGAGGAAUACAUCGGAAUCUACUUUUUCGUGGGGGAUAACGUAGGGAAACUUACGCUAAUACCGCAUACGACCUACGGGUGAAAGCAGGGGAUCUUCGGACCUUGCGCGAUUGAAUGAGCCGAUGUCGGAUUAGCUAGUUGGCGGGGUAAGGCCCACCAAGGCGACGAUCCGUAGCUGGUCUGAGAGGAUGAUCAGCCACACUGGAACUGAGACACGGUCCAGACUCCUACGGGAGGCAGCAGUGGGGAAUAUUGGACAAAGGGCGCAAGCCUGAUCCAGCCAUACCGCGUGGGUGAAGGAGGCCUUCGGGUUGUAAAGCCCUUUUGUUGGGAAAGAAAAGCAGCAGGUUAAUACCCCGCUGUUCUGACGGUACCCAAAGAAUAAGCACCGGCUAACUUCGUG